RNAcentral lists this unclassified non-coding RNA (332 nucleotides) under fungal sp. RNAcentral's name for it is "partial internal transcribed spacer region". The stretch from base 1 to 46 matches the Rfam family "Eukaryotic small subunit ribosomal RNA", at positions 1786 to 1831 of the family's 1831-position model. Lineage: Eukaryota; Fungi. The record is from RNAcentral.
AAGUCGUAACAAGGUUUCCGUAGGUGAACCUGCGGAAGGAUCAUUAUUACGUAUCCACGUAUCAACCCAAUUGUGAACUGUUUCCCGUCUGAUGAGGAUUUCUGCGACCAACUAAAAGCAUGGUGAUUCGAGGGUCAAACUUCGAACAAGCUUGGUCGGUUCCUGUGGACGUCAAACUCCGCAGCUCAUUAGAUGUGGUUUUUAUUUCAUCAUGCGCCAACAAUUAACCCCUUGUAACAAAAAUUGAACUAACGAACUUGCUACCCGAUAAAAAGGGUGGUGGAAAGACCGAAAUUAAGAAACAACUCUUAACAACGGAUAUCUUGGUUCUC